RNAcentral lists this ribosomal RNA (611 nucleotides) under uncultured bacterium. Its description in RNAcentral is "bacterial SSU rRNA". It matches the Rfam family "Bacterial small subunit ribosomal RNA", at positions 69 to 709 of the family's 1533-position model. The record is from RNAcentral.
AGCACGGAGUUUUCGGACAACGAUGCUUAGUGGCGGACGGGUGAGUAACGCGUGAGCACCUGCCUUGGAGUGGGGAAUAACAGCCGGAAACGGCUGCUAAUACCGCAUGAUAUCGCAUGGUCAAAGAUUUAUCGCUCUGAGAUGGACUCGCGUCUGAUUAGCUAGUUGGUGAGGUAACGGCUCACCAAGGCGACGAUCAGUAGCCGGACUGACAGGUUGGCCGGCCACAUUGGGACUGAGACACGGCCCAGACUCCUACGGGAGGCAGCAGUGGGGAAUAUUGGGCAAUGGGCGAAAGCCUGACCCAGCAACGCCGCGUGAAGGAAGAAGGCCCUCGGGUUGUAAACUUCUUUUGUCAGGGACGAAGCAAGUGACGGUACCUGACGAAUAAGCCACGGCUAACUACGUGCCAGCAGCCGCGGUAAUACGUAGGUGGCAAGCGUUAUCCGGAUUUACUGGGUGUAAAGGGCGUGUAGGCGGGAGUGCAAGUCAGAUGUGAAAACUAUGGGCUCAACCCAUAGCCUGCAUUUGAAACUGUACUUCUUGAGUGAUGGAGAGGCAGGCGGAAUUCCCUGUGUAGCGGUGAAAUGCGUAGAUAUAGGGAGGAACAC